ACUCCUGCAGAUCUGUUGCCACUUUUAAAGCAGCUGCAUUUUGUUCUUGUGUGAGUGUGUCCAAGUAUGCCCACCAGCGCAGUUUCUGGAGUGCUUCCAUCAGGAGCUUGUGAGCCCGUAUGCUCCUGUUGUAGUGAUGGCCGGAGAUCACUCCAUCAAUUGAGCCUGCGGCCACCAGGUCAGACUCAAUCAAGAUGUCCUGAAAGCCAGCAUCACCAUACAACUUUCCUAUGCAUGACAGAUAUGCCAUUGCUGUGUGGAACUCUCCCAUCCUCACUACAAUUCUCUCGGAGUAAGAAUUUGUUUGCCAACGGAUCUCUUGGGCCUUGGCAUAUAUGGCUUGAUCCAUAACCAAAACAACUUCUCGUUGUUCCAAAGUGUCAGCAAUGGCAAUGGAGCGGCUCAGGAUGGUGUGGACAGUGUUGAGAUCAGUCGGGCUGGCGUCAAUCACUGGUAGGUAGCCAACGUGUGUAGAUGGUAGGACGGUCUCUUCCUUCAACAUGACAUUAAACCCUGUCCAUCCAGGAAGGACUUUGCCCUGGGCCUCAGGUACUUUCAGUAAAAAGAAUGCAGCAUCAAUUCUUCUACUGGUAGUUUGAGCAUAUCUGUAUUGGUCCUGCUGGAGAUCUAUCUUCAAGGCAAAGUUCUGUGGACCAGACCGCUUUCCUCUUGUGUAGGUUGCCAGAUUCAGUGGAGGAGGAUGAACAGACCGCUCUCGUGUUCUCUGUCUGGGUAAUGUGUCUGGUGAGCAAGGGCAGUAUCAUGCUCAAGGACCUGGGUAUUGGAUGAGCAGUGACCCAGACCAUUUAACAACCCUAUAAGCUGUGCCGAGCCAGUCAUAUGCCGAACUGCCAUUGCAAAUGAGGAGGAAGCAGAGGAGACAGCAAC
Perca fluviatilis (European perch) is the source of this 888-nucleotide long non-coding RNA. RefSeq lists it as uncharacterized. The record is from RefSeq and is a predicted model, not a curated record. Lineage: Eukaryota; Metazoa; Chordata; Actinopteri; Perciformes; Percidae. The transcript has 3 exons.